ACAAUCUGAAAAUUACCUUUGGCGUUUGUUGCCUUAGGUAAGAUAAUUGUGCCGACAACAAUUAGGUACAUUUAGCUUAUUGCCAACUUUAUCUAGUUGUGCAAUGAAACCUAUGUGCCUACACUG
Molecule: small nucleolar RNA, 126 nt
Organism: Myxocyprinus asiaticus (Chinese sucker)
Lineage: Eukaryota; Metazoa; Chordata; Actinopteri; Cypriniformes; Catostomidae
Product: small nucleolar RNA ACA64
Exons: 1
Source: RefSeq, a predicted model, not a curated record